RNAcentral lists this unclassified non-coding RNA (643 nucleotides) under uncultured Bradyrhizobium sp. RNAcentral describes it as "partial 16S-23S ribosomal RNA intergenic spacer". The stretch from base 523 to 643 matches the Rfam family "Bacterial large subunit ribosomal RNA", at positions 1 to 121 of the family's 2925-position model. Lineage: Bacteria; Pseudomonadati; Pseudomonadota; Alphaproteobacteria; Hyphomicrobiales; Nitrobacteraceae. The record is from RNAcentral.
GACGUCGAGAGUUCAGUCUUCCCAGGCCCACCACUUUCUCGAGUGAGCAUUCGUCUUCUGGUUACGGGGCCAUAGCUCAGCUGGGAGAGCGCGUGCUUUGCAAGCAUGAGGUCGUCGGUUCGAUCCCGUCUGGCUCCACCAGAUGGUUUGAUCACCGAGAUCUUGACCGUCGUCCGCGAAACAUCACUUCGCAUCCUGCUAGUCUGGAUAGACAGCAGUUUGCGUGUUUUCUGACAUCGUAAAGAGGAGAUCGAUCCGAGUUGGGUCGUGCAGCAUAUCGUUGCGCGAGCCUUCAUUAUCUCCGGAUCAUUUCGGCGCUCGCUUCCAGCCGUGAGGUUGGAUGCGGGUUGUAAAUGAUCCUUUUAGCGAAGCUUGACCGCCUCGCUAUCGGAACGAUCUUACGAAGCAAGCUGGUCUUUCUAGUCAAUGUCCGGCUGCGGAUAGCGUUCAUCGAGGGCGCGUGCCGCAAGGCAAUUCUGCAGACAACAUUCUGCCGAGUGUGUGGACAUUGAUAAUGAGAGCAAUCAAGUGCCUUAAGGGUGUUCGGUGGAUGCCUUGGCGCUGAGAGGCGAUGAAGGACGUGCUACGCUGCGAUAAGCCGUGGGGAGCUGCGAAGAAGCUUUGAUCCGCGGAUUUCCGAUGG